UUAGUUCGACUGUUUUUAUAUGUAUCUCAUAACUUUUUACUGAGUGUAUCGAUUUUGAUGAUACUUUUCCAAAUCGAAAGCUGUUGCUUGUCGUGUGGUCCCAUUUAAAUUUGGCCGAAAUCUGGCGAGUAGUUUUUGUUUUAUCCUUAAUAAUUUGUAUUUAUUUAUAUGUUUUUUUUCCGACUACCCACAUUGAUGACGAUUUAAUUUUUGUUUCUUGUCAAUGUAAUAAUAAUAAUUUUAAUCUUUUUAUUUUAAAUAAACAAAC
This is a long non-coding RNA of Melitaea cinxia (Glanville fritillary), 268 nucleotides long. RefSeq lists it as uncharacterized. Lineage: Eukaryota; Metazoa; Arthropoda; Insecta; Lepidoptera; Nymphalidae. The record is from RefSeq and is a predicted model, not a curated record. The transcript is spliced from 3 exons.